GACAGAGGGUGCAAACGUUGUUCGGGAUUACUGGGCGUAAAGCGCGUGUAGGCGGCUAUGUAAGUCGGGCGUGAAAUCCCACGGCUCAACCGUGGAAGUGCACCCGAAACUGCGUAGCUAGAGUCCUGGAGAGGAAGGUGGAAUGCUUGGUGUAGAGGUGAAAUUCGUAGAUAUCAAGCGGAACACCGGUGGCGAAGGCGGCCUUCUGGACAGUGACUGACGCUGAGACGCGAAAGCGUGGGGAGCAAACAGG
Molecule: ribosomal RNA, 253 nt
Filed under: uncultured bacterium
Lineage: Bacteria
Description: partial 16S ribosomal RNA
Rfam family: Bacterial small subunit ribosomal RNA
Source: RNAcentral